AGCACCCAGGGAGGCUGUGUUCAGACGGACAGCCCAUUGUCUGUGCUUCUCCAGUUUCAUCAGGCAGUUUUAGAGGCAUUAAACCCGAACAGGUCACACUGGGCUAACGAAUUUCAUUCUGCGUGGACGACGAUGACCCACGAACCAAAGCCGGCAACUGUGACCUCUGGCCGUGUGGUCUCACAGUGGCGGUGGUUGACAGGUGGCUGGAUCCUGGGCCAGGGAUUCAGGAUCUAUUGAAUGCCUACUAUGUGCUGAGCCUUGCCUGCCUGGGUGCUGGGGACAGAGCUGUUAUAGAGACACAUGCAAAGGAGACGCGCGAAAUCCAAGGGUUGCAAAUUUGUCCUGCUAACUUCCGUGUGUGGGCGCCACUGGCAUCUGGUGGCAGGAGUGGGCAGGAGGGCUAGACGUCCUGCAAUGUGCUGGCCAGUCCCCUCCAACCGAGAAUGAGCCCACAUCCCACACAACAGUCCAACGUCUCACUGGAUGUUCACUUUUCAUAGUCACUGAAUUUUCCAGGAGUGCAACGACCGUGUCAAUUGAGGAGGGCUGUUCUUGGUUUCAUUUGGACGUUAACCAAGAGCUGGUCACCAUUUCGGAAAAUCGCGUCACCAUUGGCCUCACCCACGGGCACACCUGUGAGCAUCUGCACUUGCAGCUGUUGCCUUCCUGGGGACCCUGGAAGGGGGCAAGCGUCUGAAUCCUUCUUUAUGUGGCCGAGGGAGUCCAGCGUCCCUGUAUAUGAUUUUAUGGCAAAUUACCUUCCUUUUAAUCCUCUUUUAUAUUAUAAUGAAGACAUUAUAUUGUUUUAAACAUCAUAUGUACACGUGAAUUAUAUACCUGUAAAUUCAACUUCAGGAUAGAAAGGCACAUUACCAAAUAUUAUAUAAAUACAAUAUAAUAUCUAUUAUAUAAAUAUAUUUUGUAAAAGGAGCGUCGGGUUUGAACGGGUUGGGGAGCCUGUGAGUCAGGAGACGGGAAAUGGUUUCGUGACGGGUGAGUCAGGGC
Molecule: long non-coding RNA, 1008 nt
Filed under: Equus caballus (horse)
Lineage: Eukaryota; Metazoa; Chordata; Mammalia; Perissodactyla; Equidae
Description: lncRNA (ENSECAG00000057243.1)
Source: RNAcentral